AGAGUGAACGCUGGCGGCAGGCCUAACACAUGCAAGUCGAACGGCAGCACAGGAGAGCUUGCUCUCUGGGUGGCGAGUGGCGGACGGGUGAGGAAUACGUCGGAAUCUGCCUAUUUGUGGGGGAUAACGUAGGGAAACUUACGCUAAUACCGCAUACGACCUACGGGUGAAAGCGGAGGACCUUCGGGCUUCGCGCAGAUAGAUGAGCCGACGUCGGAUUAGCUAGUUGGCGGGUAAAGGCCCACCAAGGCGACGAUCCGUAGCUGGUCUGAGAGGAUGAUCAGCCACACUGGAACUGAGACACGGUCCAGACUCCGUACGGGAGCAGCAGUGGGGAAUA
RNAcentral lists this ribosomal RNA (340 nucleotides) under uncultured soil bacterium. RNAcentral describes it as "bacterial SSU rRNA". It matches the Rfam family "Bacterial small subunit ribosomal RNA", at positions 26 to 363 of the family's 1533-position model. The record is from RNAcentral.